RNAcentral lists this ribosomal RNA (253 nucleotides) under uncultured bacterium. RNAcentral's name for it is "partial 16S ribosomal RNA". It matches the Rfam family "Bacterial small subunit ribosomal RNA", at positions 524 to 776 of the family's 1533-position model. The record is from RNAcentral.
UACGUAGGGUGCAGGCGUUAAUCGGAAUUACUGGGCGUAAAGCGUGCGCAGGCGGUUUGCUAAGACAGGUGUGAAAUCCCCGGGCUCAACCUGGGAACUGCCUUUGUGACUGCAUAGCUAGAGUACGGUAGAGGGGGAUGGAAUUCCGCGUGUAGCAGUGAAAUGCGUAGAUAUGCGGAGGAACACCGAUGGCGAAGGCAAUCCCCUGGACCUGUACUGACGCUCAUGCACGAAAGCGUGGGGAGCAAACAGG